CUCUUCAGGGCAGGGUGCAAUUCCCUACCGGUGGUACAGCCCACGAGCCGCAAGGCAUGAUUCGGUGAAACUCCGAAGCCGACAGUACAGUCUGGAUGAAAGAAGAUG
This 108-nucleotide non-coding RNA is filed under the name Enterocloster clostridioformis. Its description in RNAcentral is "FMN riboswitch (RFN element)". It matches the Rfam family "FMN riboswitch aptamer (RFN element)". Rfam says of the family: The RFN element is a highly conserved domain that is found frequently in the 5'-untranslated regions of prokaryotic mRNAs that encode for flavin mononucleotide (FMN) biosynthesis and transport proteins. This element is a metabolite-dependent riboswitch that directly binds FMN in the absence of proteins. Lineage: Bacteria; Bacillati; Bacillota; Clostridia; Lachnospirales; Lachnospiraceae. The record is from RNAcentral.